CAUGUGUACAAUGGCCAUGACACAAAUAAUAGCUUGCAAGUUUAUAAAAAAUAGAAUACAACAGAAUUGGACAUUAGCAUACACCGUUUUAAUGGUUGCACAUAUAAAUACAAUCUUCCAGCGAAUUUAAGUUGAGUUGCUAGUGUUGUACAUAUAUAUAUGGAGCUAACGGGCGACUAUAUAGCACACACAAGCUGUCAGCUAGCGCCUCCAGCCCAUCCAUUGGUCCCUGCCGCUUGGCAGGUUCCGCAAGCUCCUCUCAACCGCCACCUCCAUGUUCUGCAAUGCACACAAAAAAGUACAAGUAGAACAAGUCUAGUCAAAUCCAUCAUUUGAUGAUUGUAGUUCUAAUCACUAAUGAAACAUGAGAUGGAACAAAGAAGGAAACAAGAUAGCUAGGAGUACCUCAUCGUUUGCACCCUUCUGCUCCACAAGCUAUAACGUGAGCUGCUUCAAAACCUUGAAGUGACAAAUAUCUAGUGGCCACAAUAACACAAGUGAUCCCAUCCACACGUUUCAUUCUAAUUUGUUCAUAAGAAAUAAACAUGAGAAAUGAUUCAUAGAUCAGUACAAAUAUAUAAACGAAGGUCAUUCGACCCUAAAUAACUGUGGCAGGAAUAAAUCAC
This 626-nucleotide long non-coding RNA is filed under the name Zea mays. RNAcentral describes it as "long non-coding RNA (ZMAY_LNC004340)". Lineage: Eukaryota; Viridiplantae; Streptophyta; Magnoliopsida; Poales; Poaceae. The record is from RNAcentral.